Molecule: ribosomal RNA, 56 nt
Filed under: uncultured eukaryote
Lineage: Eukaryota
Description: partial small subunit ribosomal RNA
Source: RNAcentral
GAUGACUGGGGUUAAGUCGUAACAAGGUAGCUGUAGGUGAACCUGCAGAAAGAUCA